GUAAAGAAUCUUCCACAAUGGACGAAAGUCUGAUGGAGCAAUACCGCGUGAACGAUGAAUGUCGAAAGAUUGUAAAGUUCUUUUCUGGGGAAAGAAUUAUGACGGUACCCCAGGAAUAAGCACCGGCUAACUCCGUGCCAGCAGCCGCGGUAAUACGGAGGGUGCAAGCGUUACCCGGAAUCAUUGGGCGUAAAGCGUCCGCAGGCGGUUUUUUAAGUUGGUUAUUAAAUCUUGAAGCCCAACUUCAAGGCUGUAACCAAAACUAAUUAACUUGAGACUUCCAGAGGCAUGUGGAAUUCUGUGUGUAGGGGUAAAAUCCGUAGAUACACAGAAGAACACCAAAAGCGAAGGCAGCAUGCUGGGGAAGUUCUGACGCUCAUGGACGAAAGCGUGGGGAGCGAACGGGAUUAGAAACCCUAGUAGUCC
Molecule: ribosomal RNA, 426 nt
Filed under: uncultured bacterium
Lineage: Bacteria
Description: bacterial SSU rRNA
Rfam family: Bacterial small subunit ribosomal RNA
Source: RNAcentral